Molecule: ribosomal RNA, 466 nt
Filed under: Lancefieldella rimae
Lineage: Bacteria; Bacillati; Actinomycetota; Coriobacteriia; Coriobacteriales; Atopobiaceae
Description: bacterial SSU rRNA
Rfam family: Bacterial small subunit ribosomal RNA
Source: RNAcentral
GAUGAACGCUGGCGGCGCGCCUAACACAUGCAAGUCGAACGGUUAAAGCACCUUUUAGGUGUGUAUAAAGUGGCGAACGGCUGAGUAACACGUGGGCAACCUGCCCUCCUCUUGGGGAUAGCCUCGGGAAACCGAGGAUAAUACCCGAUACUUCAAUGUGGCCGCAUGACGACAUUGAGAAAGCUUUUGCGGAGAAGGAUGGGCCCGCGGCCUGUUAGCUUGUUGGUGGGGUAGAGGCCUACCAAGGCAAUGAUGGGUAGCUGGGUUGAGAGACCGACCAGCCAGAUUGGGACUGAGACACGGCCCAGACUCCUACGGGAGGCAGCAGUGGGGAAUCUUGCACAAUGGGCGAAAGCCUGAUGCAGCGACGCCGCGUGCGGGACGAAGGCCUUUCGGGUUGUAAACCGCUUUUCAGCAGGGACGAGGCGAAAGUGACGGUACCUGCAGAAGAAGCCCCGCUAAUAAC